AAGGAUUGAGUAUUGCAUUUGAAACUGCUCUUUACUGCAAACAAGUUCUUUAGCUUGUUCUUUUUGUUUAACUUAUAUUUAUAUGUAUUUUUUUAGAUUGAAGAAAAAGAGUCUCAAUUGGUUCUAUAUUGAUGAGUAAUUCAAUUGUAAAUUAAUUAAUUCUCAUUAAUUUUUUUUUUGCUUUUGAUUUGUAUUAGCCAAUUAAUAUUAUUAGUUAUUGUAUAAUUUAAUAUUUAUAAGUUGAUUUUGAUUUGUAUUAGCCAAUUAAUAUUAUUAGUUAUUGUAUAAUUUAAUAUUUAUAAGUUGUAUAGUAUUUAAUAUUCAGCAGGUGGGUACAAUUAAAAAUAAUUGACAUAAAUUGUGUU
RNAcentral lists this long non-coding RNA (365 nucleotides) under Lathyrus oleraceus (garden pea). RNAcentral describes it as "Pisum sativum (pea) long non-coding RNA (PSAT_LNC003136)". The record is from RNAcentral. Lineage: Eukaryota; Viridiplantae; Streptophyta; Magnoliopsida; Fabales; Fabaceae.